RNAcentral lists this ribosomal RNA (269 nucleotides) under uncultured prokaryote. RNAcentral describes it as "partial 16S ribosomal RNA". It matches the Rfam family "Bacterial small subunit ribosomal RNA", at positions 524 to 792 of the family's 1533-position model. The record is from RNAcentral.
UACGUAGGUGGCAAGCGUUGUCCGGAUUUACUGGGCGUAAAGGGAGCGUAGGCGGACUUUUAAGUGAGAUGUGAAAUACCCGGGCUCAACUUGGGUGCUGCAUUUCAAACUGGAAGUCUAGAGUGCAGGAGAGGAGAAUGGAAUUCCUAGUGUAGCGGUGAAAUGCGUAGAGAUUAGGAAGAACACCAGUGGCGAAGGCGAUUCUCUGGACUGUAACUGACGCUGAGGCUCGAAAGCGUGGGGAGCAAACAGGAUUAGAUACCCCCGUA